RNAcentral lists this ribosomal RNA (712 nucleotides) under uncultured soil bacterium. Its description in RNAcentral is "bacterial SSU rRNA". It matches the Rfam family "Bacterial small subunit ribosomal RNA", at positions 67 to 759 of the family's 1533-position model. The record is from RNAcentral.
CGAACGUUCCCUUCGGGGGGCAAGUAGAGUGGCGUCCGGGUGAGUAACACGUAGGUAAUCUACCUUUGGGUGGGGAAUAACAACCGGAAACGGUUGCUAAUACCGCAUAAUGCAGCGGCAUCACAUGAUGACAGUUGUUAAAGCGGGGGAUCGCAAGACCUCGCGCCUAAAGAGGAGCCUGUGGCGGAUUAGCUAGUUGGCAGGGUAAUGGCCUACCAAGGCGACGAUCCGUAGCCGGCCCGAGAGGGCGGUCGGCCACACUGACACUGAAAUACGGGUCAGACUCCUACGGGAGGCAGCAGUCGGGAAUUUUGGGCAAUGGGCGAAAGCCUGACCCAGCAACGCCGCGUGAAGGAUGAAAUCCCUCGGGGUGUAAACUUCGCAAGAACAGGAAGAAUAAGCCCGUGUUAAUAGCACGGGUGAUGACGGUACUGUUUGUAAGCUCCGGCUAACUCCGUGCCAGCAGCCGCGGUAAUACGGGGGGAGCAAGCGUUGUUCGGAUUUACUGGGCGUAAAGGGCGCGUAGGCGGCCAGUGCAAGUCAGUUGUGAAAUCUCCGGGCUUAACUCGGAAAGGUCAACUGAUACUGCUCGGCUAGAGUGCGGAAGGGGCAACUGGAAUUCUUGGUGUAGCGGUGAAAUGCGUAGAUAUCAAGAGGAACACCUGCGGCGAAGGCGGGUUGCUGGGCCGACACUGACGCUGAGGCGCGAAAG